AUCAUAACGCACAUUACAUGCCUUGUUUGUACUAGGCUAAGGAAUUACGAUAUAUUGAAGCGAUAAUUCCUGUAGUCCUGUGCGAUCCAGGCUGUGGAUGCGAUGA
RNAcentral lists this microRNA precursor (106 nucleotides) under Pristionchus pacificus. RNAcentral's name for it is "microRNA ppc-mir-239 precursor (ppc-mir-239-1)". Its record names the gene ppc-mir-239-1. The stretch from base 21 to 92 matches the Rfam family "mir-239 microRNA precursor family". The record is from miRBase by way of RNAcentral. Lineage: Eukaryota; Metazoa; Nematoda; Chromadorea; Rhabditida; Neodiplogasteridae.